This 72-nucleotide transfer RNA is filed under the name Phrynosoma platyrhinos (Desert horned lizard). Its description in RNAcentral is "tRNA-OTHER". Lineage: Eukaryota; Metazoa; Chordata; Lepidosauria; Squamata; Phrynosomatidae. The record is from RNAcentral.
GCCAGUGUGAUGUAGUGGUCUGAGCACUGGACUAUGACUCUAGAGGCCAGGGUUUGAUUCCCUUCUUGGCCA